This is a long non-coding RNA of Eucalyptus grandis, 5297 nucleotides long. RefSeq lists it as uncharacterized. The transcript is spliced from 3 exons. The record is from RefSeq and is a predicted model, not a curated record. Lineage: Eukaryota; Viridiplantae; Streptophyta; Magnoliopsida; Myrtales; Myrtaceae.
GCAAGCACGAAACUCGAUGGACAAGCAUUGAUCAUCUCCUAGCAUUGUCUUUAUAAGUGCCGGCUUCACAGUGCCGUCUUCUAUCGGCAAACGAACGCCCAGAGUUCGAGUCUCUGAGAGUCAAGAAAGAGUCCAAAAGAACCGGAGGUGAAAAAGAAAAAUGAUGAACAAGAUCAAGAAGGAAAUUGAAGAUGGAAUGAAGCUGAUAUGGAAGAAGGUCGACCCAAAAGAUCUGAAACCUGGCGAUCACAUCUACGCUUAUAAGCGAUAUGGCUCUUAUAGUCACCAUGGGAUAUAUGUGGGAGGUGGUUAUGUGAUUCACUUCACCAGAACAGAAAGCAAGGAAGCCAUCCUACCACAUUCUUGGGUCAAACCAGAAACUGUGCCUGCCUGUCCAGAAUGUGGGUACCAGAGAAAAACUGGCUGUGGGGUCAUCAAGACGUGCCUUGAUUGCUUCCGUCGAGACCGCAAGAUGCUUCAUUCCAUUCAUUACUUCAUGUAUGGCGCACCGCGAUUAGGCCUUCUCCUAAAGAAUCCGGGAACUUGCAGCACCCUUUCUCGUGCCAGAUCCCCUGAACAAGUUGUUGAAGCUGCUUAUGAGCUUCUAAGGAGCAAUGGAUUUGGUGAAUACGAUCUUACUGGUAAUAACUGUGAACAUUUCGCGACUUAUUGUCAGACAGGUGUGCGUGCCAGUGUGCAGACGGCAUUUUAUGAUGCUUGCUUGAUGAAGUACAGAGAGCUGAGGAACCGCUCAUGAAGUUUGGAAUGUAGAAGGCAAAGCAACGGCAGCAAGUGCGGGAGAAAAAGAAAAAGGAGAUUUUUGACAUGCGCUUUGAGCAGGUGUCCACGACUUGGUGUAAAGCCUGGCAAGGUUUCAAACUCUUUAUUCGUUAAAAUCGAAGGAAUUUUUUGCAGUUAAAGCGGCGGAUUCGUAUCUAAUUGAAUUCUGAGUUGCUGGAUUCAAUCUGGAAUUGUUUAGCUGAAAAAUCAUGUGAUAAUCAAAUUUUAGGAUGUUGUGGAGCCUGGAUUUUACAGAUAUCAAUUUGGAGUUACGGUUUGGUUAGAGUGAAUUUCUGAAGUUUCACACACUGCUGGAAACACUGUGUGUUCAGAGCUGGUUUUUGGCUGCCUCAGGCCAUCUUUUAGGUCGGCCAAAUUUAUGAUCUUUUAAAUUUUCGAUAGAGCUUUCUCUUGACAGUAAUCUUGCUGGAAUUGGAGUUCGGUAGAGAGAUAUGACGUGACCAAAUUCGUCAGGAGAGCUGCCCUGUAAAGCAGACAACAAUGAAUGUUCUGCUGUGGUUGGCAGGAGUCAUAUUGUUGCCGAAUAAGCAUAGUUUAGUCAAGUCUUAGUUAAGGAGGUUAUUUACUUAAUUUUUUAUAUUCAUUUCUCAUUUAAUUGAUAGAAUUUUGAGUUUGUUGGCUCUAGUAGUGUUUGUUAUUUGGUUUCAGUAAUUUCCUUGUUUCUUCUGCAAUAUUUUUUUUGCUUUCUUGUUUUGUUUUCAGUGUUUUUUUUCACCUUGACUCGUGCAUUUUCACGAUGUAAUCUCCAGCUGGUUUUGCCCUCAGAAUGCAGGUGUUUGUUGUAUGAUGUAUCCUUAUGAUGAUUCUGAACUUCAAAUUGUGAUUCCAUGGAUUAAAGCUUAUUAAAUUUAGUUGUUUUUGUUGGAUAUGAGUUAGAAAGUAGGAUAUUUUGUCACAGAAUUUUGGUUUUAGUUCCUACCGUGGUUGGACUAUGUCACCCUUCACAUUUGGUUUGGGCAUUUCAUUGGAUGAAUAGAUUGAGUUUUGAUGCUUUAGUUGGAAUACUGAGCUAAAAGAAAAUUAGAAAGAAAUUGAGACAAGAAAUGAGAAUAAUGUGAUUGAGAGAAUGGAUAUGAACGAGGAGAAGGAGGCAUUUGCUACAAGAAUGAACAUAUUGGUCAUGGUGUACUAAUGGAAUAUGUUUGAUAUGCAAGAUGGACUCAGUUCCGACAGUUUGAGCAUUUGGGAUGAAGGUCUGUUUAACAUUGUAGUUUCAAUGCAAGAGCUUGAAUCAUAACUAUACAUCUUAUAGAUAUUCUCCAAGUUACACUAGUUGUUGUGCUCCUGCUUUCUGAAUAAUCCUGACAUUCAUGCGACCCCCAACUUAUGGACAAUGUGGAUUAUGAAGGAAUAUGCUUAAUACACAUGUCCAAUAACAACUUCAGAUUCUAAUUUCCCUAACUAACUUUUUUCCCACCUGCUCACAUCUCUAUAACUCAAUUAGUUCCUACUCAUCUCUAGCUCCAAUCUUCAGCUCACGACAAAUUCUCCACCAUUUUCCCUUGACUUGUGUAAUCACAGGAGGACCAGCUGUGACUAUUGAGCAGUUCAUCGUCUUCUGAGGAUGGCCUGAGUAGGAGCUUGCGAGGGAGGUCGAAUGAAUCUAUUCCAAACAGUUAUGUUGCCCCCACUUCAGAAGUCAGAAUCUUUAGUUCUGCAGAGCUGAAAGUUGCAACAAGAAGCUUCAGAUCUGAUACAAUUUUCGAUGAGGAUGGUUUGACAUAGAGGCUGCCUUGAUGUUAAAGGGUCGUCCCAGAGCAAAAGAAUGACUCUGUUUUUGUUUUGUUAAAAAUAACUUCAAUUACCAUAAAAAAGUCGAACCCAGAGAGCAUGCAAGGAUUCAAAGAGUGGAAGAUAAUCUUUGUUCCACUCAGGAAAGCUCAGGUUGCAUGUUCUUUGCAGUCUUUAAUGUUAGCACUUUGGCAUUUUUAGCAAGAAGCUCUAUUAUGAUGGUGGGAGAAGAAUCGUGUCCAGAUAUGCAGUUUGUUUUAGAAAACUGAAAAUGAGAUGAUAGAUGUCAGGGACCUUAAUUGUGGCGAGAUUGUUCUGGUUUUGCAUGGCUAGUUUCACAGGAGCUCACUAUCUCAGUUUGCUUUCUUCCUUUUGAGAAUGUAUGCCUUUUGCCCAACUGAACACAUAUUUCUGGGGGUUUGAUCAAUGAUGUGGACCAUAUAAUUAUGUUAGGAUUGCCUUUAUUUAGGAGAAGAUAGUGCUUGCUCCUCUUAUCCUUUAUUUUAGGAUCUGUAACUUGUCCUAUGACCAGGAGCAAUUCUAGGCAGGAGCUUGUAGAAAAGCCAGCUUACUCUUCCAUUCUAUAGAUUCCAUGUAAAAACAUUAAAAAAUCUUGUGAGAUUCUGUUUUCAAGGACUUCUGGGGUUAGCGUAAGUCUUUUCCAUACAUGCAAUAGAAGAAUAAAAAUUUGCUUAUUCUGCGCCUGGUGCUGUUAAUUUUCCAGUCUUUAUUUUAUCUCUAUUAAAAAUUAAAACAGCAGGCACAGUGCCGGGUGAAAUACAUGGCUCUUAUAAGUUUCCGUAGGCAUGUGCCAUUUGGAGGUUUGAAAUAAUCAAUUGAGAAGAGCUGUUUUCAUCAGUUUGCUGAACAGAUUGUCGGGAUGUAAAGUGAUGAUACACAAAUGGUCAAGGCAUAGAUGUUUUGGAAUGCACAUUUGAGUGGCUGUCUCAUGGUGUGUGAAUUAGAAGGCAAGCUACUGUAAUUCCUAGAACCAUUUGAUCUAUAGAUACCUUAAGUGAGCAAUUGUGCUCUUGAUCUAAAUCUUGAGAUUCUACAGUCUUGUCCUACAGUUGUUAUGUCUAAGUUGUGUAGUGCAUACUUCAUGUAUGUUAGUUUUCCAGCAGCCAAGCGGCACGGAAUUGGAGGAAACAAGUAAGAGGAGAGAAGCUUUGCAAGCUUAGCUUCUAUCUCUGAGGUUCUUGAGUGCUGGCGUAGAAAUGUCUUCUGAAUCUUGGUCAUAGUUUAUAAAUUUUAUGGUGAAGUACUGUGAUAGCUUAUAAAUUUUGAAAUGUAGGGACUCUUCUUGCAUUUCAGAGGACUUUAGGCCCUGCAUCAGAAACUAUUGUGACUUAUAUCCUUGCUGUUUAAGCUAAAGCCAGAGGAUGUCACUAUAAUGUACCUGAAACAUUAAAUACUGAUAUGAGUUUUAGGACAUUAGAGCCACUUCUGGAAUUUCUCAUCAUAGUUCUAGGAGCUAAAACCAUCCUUAGUGAGGAUAAUUUAUUUGUGGAAAAAUAUGCUGGCCAGCCCUGAAAGUGAGUUGAGGUGAGCAAAUCGUUUGAGUCAAAACUUAUGCUACUUUAGGAGAAACUGGACAUAACUGUUCUUCUUCAUUAUCCUUAAAAGAAUGAAUAAGAUCCUGCCUUUUUCUUUUUAUGAAUCACCUGUUAAAUGGAGGUCAACACGUUAUUAACAUGCAAGUCUUUUAAAAGGGAAAAGAUAAGGACGGAAGGACUUAGCCUCCACAUAAAUCUAGUAAGCAUAUAAAUUUUUCAAUAUUGAUCAUCACUCAAGAUGCUAUUGUCUUUCUUGGAAGGUGGACAUCUACUUUGUACGGCACAAGAUGAGUGCAUUCUUUUUGAUCAUGUUGCAUAUCAGAGCAUAUGAUUCUGUGUUUUAGACUCGAUAUGGCCACCUGUACUGUCAUCAUUCUUAUCCUCUAUUGGCUUUGCCAAUGUCAAAAUCAUGCGAGGGAUGUUUACUUGCUUUAUAAAUAGGUUGAGCACUUAAGAUUUGCUUACUCCUUGGUUGAUUUUCAUGAAUAUGAGGUUGUGUAUUUACAGUAAGGCAUAUGAAAUUCAACCGUGCGGUUCACAUGUCAGGAUUUACUAUUGAACAUGGGUGAUGAUGCAUCUUUGAAUAUUUCAUCCCGGUUUUACUUCAGAUUUUUGCUACCAUCUAAAUUUUGUAGGGUGCAUCCAUAGUAGAUGGCUCUUAGGGUGGCCUUGUGGGUUUCUUCAAUUUCUUAUCGCACAAAUUGGUCGUUCUAUCUCUCUCUUUUCUUUGCAGGAGAUGCCUGUUUGCUUCAUCAUAUACUAAAACAAAUGUGAAAUUAUGAGGUUUUCCCUAUUGUGACACGAGUGAUAACUUUUUGCAGUUGGAGGCGAACUUCCUGGGCAUCUUAUUCAAAUGAUUGCCAGGCUAUUGGGAUAUUGUUUGGGGCAUAAAGAAAUACGUGUCCGUGAGUUUUGCCAAGGGUUACCCUGAAGAACCAUCUCUAUAUCAUGUGUCUUUCCUGCUGCAAGGGGCUUGGCCAUUGAACCACUUCCAUGGGUCACACCGCUUAGCUUAAAUUUGCAAUAGGAGCAGCCAAAGGCCUCGCGUUCUUGCACCAGUUAGACAGGCAAAUAAUCUGCAGAGAUUUCAAGCCCUCAAACAUUUUGCUGGACUUGGUAAUUUUCAUGUUUGUUAGUUAGAUUAAAUGAAGCAAUCCCACAUUGUUGUUACCUGAUUUGGUUCCAAAAUCUUAUCCUGUGCUGAAAUAA